This 757-nucleotide unclassified non-coding RNA is filed under the name Hevea brasiliensis (rubber tree). The record is from RNAcentral. Lineage: Eukaryota; Viridiplantae; Streptophyta; Magnoliopsida; Malpighiales; Euphorbiaceae.
GAAGACUGUUACAAAGGUUUAUCAUCUCUCUUUCUAUCCUAUUAUUUUGGGUUUAUGGCUUUUUUUCCUAUUGUUAUGCAAUUCUUUUAUUGUUUUUUACGUCCAUAUUAUUUGUGCAUUUUGAUUGUUUAUGAAAUCAGUAAUAUGAGCUUUAGUGUGGAAAUUGUAAAAUUUUUUAUUGUGUAUUCUCUUGACACUUUGUUCUGUCCAUGCUAUGUUAUAUCGUUUGUUUUGUUCAUGCUAUUUCUCGGUUUGAUUAUUAAAUGGGGUGGUAUGGUCUUUUGUGUGGAAAUUGUAAAAUGUUUUAUCCUGUAUUCUCUUGAAGUUUUGUUCUGCAAUGUUGCAAUAUUUAGGAUUUAUGUUGUUUGUUAGGUUCAUGCUAUUUGCGCUUUUUUAUUAUGAAAUUGGUAACUUUUAUCUUUUGUGUGGAAAUUGUAGUACGGCUUGUCCAUCCUACAUCCUCUCCUGCAAUUUUUUUAGUCUUUGUACUGUUGCAAUUUUUAGGAUUGGUUUAGUGAGAAUAGUGAUUGUCUCUGUUAUGAUAACUAUUUGAUUUGUGUGUUUUCUUGUUGACGUUUCCUAAAUUUGUGUUCGGUUUCUUGAUGUAUUUGGUGUAUUUCAUUUCUAUUUAUCUUGCAUUUUUGUUGAAGCAUAUUUGUGGAUAUAUAUGUCCUGUGAUUACAAGUGCCCUAAUCCAUUGUAUUAUAUUUGUUUGCUUGAUAAUUAAUUUUGUCUUCAUUUCCUCUAUGAACCUAUC